This 401-nucleotide ribosomal RNA is filed under the name uncultured bacterium. Its description in RNAcentral is "bacterial SSU rRNA". It matches the Rfam family "Bacterial small subunit ribosomal RNA", at positions 362 to 756 of the family's 1533-position model. The record is from RNAcentral.
UAUUGCGCAACGGGGGCAACCCUGACGCAGCCAUGCCGCGUGAAUGAAGAAGGCCUUCGGGUUGUAAAGUUCUUUCGGUGAUGAGGAAGGAGGAUGUUUAAAUAGGGCAUUCAAUUGACGUUAAUCACAGAAGAAGCACCGGCUAACUCCGUGCCAGCAGCCGCGGUAAUACGGAGGGUGCGAGCGUUAAUCGGAAUAACUGGGCGUAAAGGGCACGCAGGCGGAUAAUUAAGUGAGAUGUGAAAUCCCCGAGCUUAACUUGGGAAUUGCAUUUCAUACUGGUUAUCUAGAGUCUUGUAGAGAGGGGUAGAAUUCCACGUGUAGCGGUGAAAUGCGUAGAGAUGUGGAGGAAUACCGGAGGCGAAGGCGGCCCCUUGGACAAAGACUGACGCUCAUUGCGA